Molecule: long non-coding RNA, 1109 nt
Organism: Tympanuchus pallidicinctus (lesser prairie-chicken)
Lineage: Eukaryota; Metazoa; Chordata; Aves; Galliformes; Phasianidae
Exons: 4
Source: RefSeq, a predicted model, not a curated record
UUUAAGGGCUGACUGCCCUGUGGGAAGGUUGUUUGGUUGGAGAUCCUUUCUUUGUGGAGUUUCCUUUCUGAGCCUGGAUCUUCAGGCACAGCCCUGCUUUUGAGGAGUGAUUUUUGAGAUCUCUGCAGUCUUGGUUGCCAUCUGGGUCUACAACCCCAACCCCACUGAUGUGCUUGGGAUGUUAUUUUCAGACGUCUCUCGGUUGCGUUUUAACCUUGGAAUUUACAGUGCUUCGUAAGUCAAUCCUAUGUUGACUGGAUUGAUAGAGACUGUAAAACAGCAUUGUUAUUUCAUGGUUGAUUGUUGACCAUGUUUACUAGUUGUAGCAGCUGUCACUGGACAGUGCGGAACUUUUCAGAUGUGACCUGGAAAAUGACUCAUUUUUUGGCAUGAGCAGAAAAGCUGAGUUACUGGGAUCAUUCACAGUGAUAUAGGUUGAACUUUGGGACUUCGGAAGCCAUCUUGGAAGAGGUUAAAUGAUGCCAUGAGAAAUUCUGGCCAGCAUACAGCCUUUCUAAAAGCUCUGCUUUCUUUAGCCACGAACUCAUUUGCUUUGUAGCUUUCUGUUCACCUUUAGUGUCUGAUUUCGUAGUCGGUGAAGUUCAGCAGCAGAACUCGGACCACAUCCUUUGUGCCACUCACACUUCAAAAGGACAUGAAAUAGCUUUCACAUCUCCACCUCCCUACUAAAAUCUCUCCUACCUUUUGGUUUCUUGCAUUAGAAGGGAAGGAAUGUGCCUGAAACAGUCAGUUUUUUUUCUUCUUUUCAUAUUGUUUGAUGCAUGAUGAGCUUGGCUAUCUGAUCUCAUUGUGUUACUGAAUAUGGCUUCAUUAGCCACAAAAAGUGCUAUCUACAAGGAAGAAAAUAUGCCCUCUGCUGACUUCGCAUGCGGCUAGAAUUUAAAAAGCUGCUGUCAGAGUACCACGAUGGAACUAUUGUUUGCAAAUAAAGCAAAUUAAAAUAAACAUCUUUUAUCAUAAGAAAGCAAUUAGUGUUGAUUCGCAGCUUUGCUUGGUUUUUCUUUCCUGACCUUGACUACAUCGUGAUGGUUUUGUGCUUCUUCGGACAGCUUCCACUGCAUCUGCAUCGAUUAAACCUUGAUCUCAUU